CACUCAUUUCAUUUAUUUCACACUAACCUACUAUAUUCAUUUCUAGCCUAAACAGUCCACACCUCCCAGUUUUCAAGUAACAGAAGCAAGCUAAAGCAUGAAAUGUAGAGACAACCUGGGAGUGAAAAAAAAACAGGAGAUAAAGAAGAAGAGAACAGCUAGAAUGAAUGAGGAAGAAUGGGAGAAGAGAGUAUUUACAUCCGCUGAGACAGAAGCUCUCAUGAGCCCAUCUGCAGAAUGGAGAGUACAACAUCUUUGGAAAAUAUAUAAAACACAGAAAAACUAAAAAAUACUAAGUUUAGUGACAGAGAUGAAUAUAUAGGUCAGCCCUUCCAAAUUAGUGUUUGAAUACUGAAUUGUUUUAUUCUCAAAUGAAGUGUAUUAAACAUUUUUGUUAAAAUUGUA
Long non-coding RNA from Sinocyclocheilus anshuiensis, 405 nucleotides. RefSeq lists it as uncharacterized. NCBI's taxonomy places the organism in Eukaryota, Metazoa, Chordata, Actinopteri, Cypriniformes, Cyprinidae. The record is from RefSeq and is a predicted model, not a curated record. The transcript is spliced from 2 exons.